GGAGCUUGCUCCUGGGGAUUAGUGGCGAACGGGUGAGUAACACGUGAGCAAUCUGCCCUUGACUCUGGGAUAAGCGCUGGAAACGGCGUCUAAUACCGGAUACGACCCUCGGAGGCAUCUCCUGGGGGUGGAAAGAACUUCGGUCAAGGAUGAGCUCGCGGCCUAUCAGCUUGUUGGUGAGGUAAUAGCUCACCAAGGCGACGACGGGUAGCCGGCCUGAGAGGGUGACCGGCCACACUGGGACUGAGACACGGCCCAGACUCCUACGGGAGGCAGCAGUGGGGAAUAUUGCACAAUGGGCGCAAGCCUGAUGCAGCAACGCCGCGUGAGGGACGACGGCCUUCGGGUUGUAAACCUCUUUUAGCAGGGAAGAAGCGAGAGUGACGGUACCUGCAGAAAAAGCACCGGCUAACUACGUGCCAGCAGCCGCGGUAAUACGUAGGGUGCAAGCGUUGUCCGGAAUUAUUGGGCGUAAAGAGCUCGUAGGCGGUCUGUCGCGUCUGCUGUGAAAACCCGAGGCUCAACCUCGGGCUUGCAGUGGGUACGGGCAGACUAGAGUGCGGUAGGGGAGAUUGGAAUUCCUGGUGUAGCGGUGGAAUGCGCAGAUAUCAGGAGGAACACCGAUGGCG
This 629-nucleotide ribosomal RNA is filed under the name Agrococcus sp. RNAcentral's name for it is "bacterial SSU rRNA". It matches the Rfam family "Bacterial small subunit ribosomal RNA", at positions 75 to 717 of the family's 1533-position model. The record is from RNAcentral. Lineage: Bacteria; Bacillati; Actinomycetota; Actinomycetes; Micrococcales; Microbacteriaceae.